Molecule: long non-coding RNA, 540 nt
Organism: Capsicum annuum
Lineage: Eukaryota; Viridiplantae; Streptophyta; Magnoliopsida; Solanales; Solanaceae
Exons: 2
Source: RefSeq, a predicted model, not a curated record
CUGGUUCUGAUGUGCAGAUGAAUCAACUCAGUCAAAUGGGAAGUGUACCAUUCACUAAAGAGCAAUAUGAGCAAAUCUUGAGAAUGAUUAAUAACAACAACACUAACUCACAUGCAGGAGAAUCAGCAAAUGCUGCUAGUACAUCUAAUGCAGGAUCUUUACACUGGAAAGGUGAGGGGGAUUGGUAAGCCUGCUGGAGGAUUAUAUCUACUGGUUGGACAACAAGACAAUGAGAUUUCACAACAUGCAGCUAAUAAAGUGACAAAUUGUGGUAUGGUGAUAAGAAUUAAUGAUGACAUAAACCUUUGGCAUAAAAGAUUAGGUCAUGUACACUCAUGCUUUUAAGAAAAUAGUUACUUCUGAUAUUCAAAGUAUAGAAGAUAGAAUAAGGAAAUGUACUGUAUGUCCUUGUACAAAGCAAGCUAGAUCUUUUUUCUCUCAAGUAAUAUUCAAAGUACAUGUUGUUUUGAUCUUGUGCACAUGGAUGUGUGGGGACCUUAUAAGAUAGCAAUUAUGAAUGGCAAUAAAUAUUUUUUGACA